GAUGAACGCUGGCGGUAUGCCUAACACAUGCAAGUCGAACGAAGUCUUCGGACUUAGUGGCGGACGGGUGAGUAACGCGUGAGGAUCUGCCUCUUGAAUGGGGACAACAGUUGGAAACGACAGCUAAUACCCAAUAAGCCGAAAGGUGAAAGAUUUAUCGUCAAGAGAGGAGCUCGCGUCCGAUUAGCUAGUUGGUGGGGUAAAAGCCUACCAAGGCGGCGAUCGGUAGCUGGUCUGAGAGGAUGAGCAGCCACACUGGGACUGAGACACGGCCCAG
Molecule: ribosomal RNA, 277 nt
Filed under: uncultured bacterium
Lineage: Bacteria
Description: partial 16S ribosomal RNA
Rfam family: Bacterial small subunit ribosomal RNA
Source: RNAcentral